RNAcentral lists this ribosomal RNA (773 nucleotides) under uncultured Neocallimastigales. RNAcentral describes it as "partial large subunit ribosomal RNA". It matches the Rfam family "Eukaryotic large subunit ribosomal RNA", at positions 24 to 616 of the family's 3401-position model. Lineage: Eukaryota; Fungi; Neocallimastigomycota; Neocallimastigomycetes; Neocallimastigales. The record is from RNAcentral.
GCAUCUGUGCAUGCAGCAUAUCAAUAAGCGGAGGAAAAGAAACUAACAAGGAUUCCCCUAGUAACGGCGAGUGAAGCGGGAAGAGCUCAAAUUUGAAAUCUUAAAGGGUUUCCCUUUACGAAUUGUAGUUUAAAGAAGUGUUUUCUGUUGAGGUUUUGGUAAAAGUUCUUUGGAAUAGGACAUCAUAGAGGGUGAGAAUCCCGUAUUUGACCUUUACUUUCAACUUUGUGAUACACUUUCAAAGAGUCGGAUUGUUUGGGAAUGCAGUCCAAAAUGGGUGGUAAAUUUCAUCUAAAGCUAAAUAUUGGCGAGAGACCGAUAGCGAACAAGUACCGUGAGGGAAAGAUGAAAAGAACUUUGAAAAGAGAGUUAAACAGUACGUGAAAUUGUCAAAAGGGAAGCGUUUGACACCAGUGUUGUUUUUCUGAAAAUCAAUUAAAGAGCUGUUUAUGCUAAGUUGUUUAGACUUUAUCAGCUAACUGUUUAGUUUUGAGCUUUUCUUUAAUGCACUUUUCAGUUAACAAGUCAACAUCAAUUUCUUUUGCUGUAAAAAAGCUUGAGGAAGGUGGCUUGAGAUUCGUCUUAAGUGUUUAUAGCCUCUUGCCUAUGCAGUCGGAGAGAUUGAGGUCUGCAGCGUAGAUCCUUCGGGGCUAAAUGCAUUUGUGCUAAGUUAUAGCAUUUUAUAGACAACUUGUUGACUAUGAUUUGUCUUGUAGCUUACUCGCUUAUGUUAUUUUACCUACGCUUAGGAUGUUGAGCGCAUGUCUCUCUCU